UCCCCCGUAAUGCAAUUGGACGAACAGGUGUCUGUCAGUAACAGUUGACCAAUCAGGAAAGACUAAAGUUUGAGGGGGCGGGACCUUGAUCAAGUCCGAUAGGGAAAGAGCGAUACGUGAAGAAACGGAAAGGAAGAAUGGCGGCGCUUCGUUAAAGAUUUUUCUAGUGUUUAGUAAUAUAAUCUGCCUGCUGGAUACAGCAGGCAGAUUAUAUGAGAUGAGACACAGUGAGACAAAAACCUGCAGCUUCAGUCCAAGUUCUUCUGUGUUCCAGCCACAUGUUGAAUCCUCAUAAACGUCACAAUUGUUGCAAACUCCACCAGUAGGCAAGAAUGUUCGUAAAAUCUCCGGAAAAGCUGGAUGACAGUUUAUCUGCCCUUCAGGAACGUCGGACAUCCGCUCCAACUUGAAGUCUUUGUCUUCCACAGCAUCACUCCUACGACUGCAGCUGUGGAGAACCAGACAGGAGGUCAUGAACAAGACUCUGUUGGACGACUUUGAGCCAGCGUGGAAACAAACACCUCAUCUAUAAACCAAACAAGACGAAGGAGAUCAUUGAGGAAUAAGCCGAAGAGUAAGUCCUGUGAGGCAAGGUGGAGAUGACUGGAAGAUUUGUGUUUCAUGAAAAUAAACCUCUGAAGCUUUAUGAA
Long non-coding RNA from Poecilia latipinna (sailfin molly), 650 nucleotides. RefSeq lists it as uncharacterized. The transcript has 2 exons. The record is from RefSeq and is a predicted model, not a curated record. NCBI's taxonomy places the organism in Eukaryota, Metazoa, Chordata, Actinopteri, Cyprinodontiformes, Poeciliidae.